This 253-nucleotide ribosomal RNA is filed under the name uncultured prokaryote. Its description in RNAcentral is "partial 16S ribosomal RNA". It matches the Rfam family "Bacterial small subunit ribosomal RNA", at positions 525 to 777 of the family's 1533-position model. The record is from RNAcentral.
ACGGAGGGGGCUAGCGUUGUUCGGAAUUACUGGGCGUAAAGCGCGCGUAGGCGGCUUUGCAAGUUAGAGGUGAAAGCCCGGAGCUUAACUCCGGAACUGCCUUUAAAACUGCAUCGCUAGAAUCAUGGAGAGGUUAGUGGAAUUCCGAGUGUAGGGGUGAAAUUCGUAGAUAUUCGCAAGAACACCAGUGGCGAAGGCGGCUCACUGGCCCGAUACUGACGCUGAGGCACGAAAGCGUGGGGAGCAAACAGGA